RNAcentral lists this ribosomal RNA (449 nucleotides) under uncultured bacterium. RNAcentral describes it as "bacterial SSU rRNA". It matches the Rfam family "Bacterial small subunit ribosomal RNA", at positions 329 to 792 of the family's 1533-position model. The record is from RNAcentral.
ACCCAGACUCCUACGGGAGGCAGCAGUGGGGAAUAUUGGGCAAUGGGCGCAAGCCUGACCCAGCAACGCCGCGUGAAGGAAGAAGGCUUUCGGGUUGUAAACUUCUUUUCUGAGGGACGAAGAAAGUGACGGUACCUCAGGAAUAAGCCACGGCUAACUACGUGCCAGCAGCCGCGGUAAUACGGAGGGUGCGAGCGUUAUCCGGAUUCAUUGGGUUUAAAGGGUGCGCAGGCGGGCCUUUAAGCCGGGGGGGAAACCCGGGGGGCCAACCCCCGCCGGGCCGUCGGAACUGGGGGCCUUGAGUGCGGCGGAGGCAUGCGGAAUGCGCGGUGUAGCGGUGAAAUGCAUAGAUAUCGCGCAGAACCCCGAUUGCGAAGGCAGCGUGCCGUGCCGCCACUGACGCUGAGGCACGAAAGCGCGGGGAUCGAACAGGAUUAGAUACCCUAGUA